RNAcentral lists this long non-coding RNA (1402 nucleotides) under Monodelphis domestica (gray short-tailed opossum). Its description in RNAcentral is "lncRNA (ENSMODG00000048191.1)". Lineage: Eukaryota; Metazoa; Chordata; Mammalia; Didelphimorphia; Didelphidae. The record is from RNAcentral.
AUGAGGACGUUUGGCAUGACAGCCCAGCAGGGAAAUAUGAGGCCAAGGGGGGAUCGAGUGGCCUCUCCUCCACUGUUAGUUCUCCAUCUCUCACUUGGCACAGGAUCAGCAGCUUCAUGGAUCACAUCUUCCCUACCCAACGUCCUCAGCUUCCCUCUCUUCCAGAGACCUCCAGGCCCAGGGCAAUGGCCCAGGAUGCAGGGAAGAAUGUUUCUGCUUCAGCUACCUUUGUGGCUCUCAAAAGGAAUCCUUUUCCUCUGCCCAUCCUGCCUGGAGACAUCUUCAUGGGCCUGGGGUGGCCACCCCUUGACUCACACCGGGUUGGAGAGUGAGACAGUUUUCCCUGGCUGUGGCUACUGCACAUGCUACAGGCACCACAGGAGAGAGGAGGGUGAAGGAUAACCGCCAAAAGUGGACAGGGAACCCCCAAAAGGGCUCCCCAAGCCCCCUGGCCACAGGUGCUACUCUUCUCUGAUCUCUCCUUCUGCUCCAUUUUCCCUGGACAAUUGCAGACUGAGAUGCAGAAUGAUAGAACCAGUUCGUCUUCAUGGGGUUCACACCUCUAGUGACUUUUUCUAGUAAAACCCAAUUUCAUUGCCAAACCUUCCAGAUCCCCUAAAUGGAUUCACAACCAGUUUAGACAAGAGGAGGCAACUAUGUGGCAAAGGGGAGACCCCACUCAAGUCCUGCCUCUGAGGCUAGUCAGCUACAUGAGCCUGGGCAAAUUAUUUGGUAUCUCAGCCCCAGUUUCCCCAGCUGAAUAAUAAGUAUUAUAGAAGAGGGGGAGAGGAAAGGGAACAAGCACUUAUUGAAUAUCUACUGUAACAAAGUGUUCUAAGCAUCUUACAGAUAAUGCAAUGGGUCCCCAAAACAAUCCAGGGAGGUGGAUGCUACUAUUAUCCCCAUUUUACAGUGGAGGAAACUGAGGCAGAUAGAGGUUAAGUGACUUGCCCAGGGUCUCCAAGUUAGUAAGAGUCUGAGGCUGCACUUGAACUCAGAUCUUCCUGACUCCAACUCUGUCAGAGGUUGAUAACUCUGGGUCCAUCUAAGAUAAAGAUCUGAGUGCCCUCGUCAGAGGUUGAAACCUCAUGGUCUGUCAGAAAAUGAGUCAGAGUGCCCUUCCCUCUACCUUCUUUGUGCUGGCAAGACAUGAUAUUGCUGAUUAUUCCAUGAACCUGGAUGGCAGUUGGAAUCAUUAUUCUACCCCAAGUGCUAUACUUCUUGUUACACUUUCCCAAGGAUUUUUCUCAGAGGAUUGUUUUUACUUUCUGUGAUCUGUACCUUUAAAAGAUGUAACCACUCUACAUUAAAUUGUAUUCACCUGCAAUCAGCAAGGUAAAACCCUUCUGACCCAAACCUUUCCAUUCUUAUUAUUUUUCCCUCUCCCUUACCUGGGGAACUC